AUCAAAAAAAAGAAAUGCUUUAGGUGGAUACCUAAGGACUCAAAGAUGAUGAAGGGCGCGGAAACCUGCGAAAAGUUCUAGUCAGUUGGAAGCAAACGUUGAUCUAGAAAUUCCCGAAUAGAGCAAUCUUCAAAACGACUCAUAAAAUUCAUAUAUGAGUUCGAAUGAACGUAGUGAACUGAAACAUCUUAGUAACUAUAGGAAAAAAAAGCAAACGCGAUUUCCUUAGUAGCGGCGAGCGAAACGGAAGAAAGCCUAAACGGAUUGAUUUCCGGGUUGGGGGAGCCUAUCUCAAAAAAAGAAGGGGAAAGCAGCUGAAACCUGCACCAAAGAUGGUUAAAGUCCAGUUUUCCUUCUGAUAUAAUGGGACAAUCCCGAGUAGCUUGGGGCACGUGAAAUCCCUUGUGAAUCAACGAGGACCACCUCGUAAGGCUAAAUACUCUUGAGUCACUGAUAGUGAAAAGUACCGCGAGGGAAAGGUGAAAAAGAACCCCUAAAGGGGAGUGAAAAAGAAAAUGAAACCUAAAGCAAUCUAUCUGUGGGAGGCAGUCAACUGCUGACCGCAUGCCUGUUGAAGAAGGAGCCGGCGACUCAGAAUUUUUGGCGCGGUUAAAGAAAUUUUCUGGAGCCCGAGUGAAAACAAGUCUAAAAAUGGCGAAAGUCAAAAAUUCUGGACCCGAACCCGGGUGAUCUAACCAUGACCAGGGGGAAGCUGAGGUAAAACUGAGUGAACGCCCGAACCGACCGAUGUUGAAAAAUCGGCGGAUGAGUUGUGGUUAGGGGUGAAAUGCCAAUCGAACCCGGAGCUAGCUGGUUCUCCCCGAAAUGCGUUUAGGCGCAGCAAUGGUCGAUGCACUCUUAAGAGGUAGAGCACUGUUUCGGUGCGGGCCAGUCAAAUGGUACCAAACUGUGGCAAACUCCGAAUACUUAAUAUCGAUGCCGACCGUAAGUGAGACUUUGGGGGAUAAGCUCCAAAGUCGAAAGGGAAACAGCCCAGAUCAUCAGCUAAGGCCCCUAAAUAAUCACUAAGUGUAAAAGGAAGUAUCAACGCGGAAACAGCCAGAAGGUUCGCUUAGAAGCAGCUAUCCUUGAAAGAAUGCGUAAUAGCUCACUGGUUAAAGAAAGCGUAGAUGCGCCGAAAAUGUCCGGGACUAAGUGAUUUGCCGAAGCUAUGAGAGAUGUUCUCCGAACAUUUCGGUAGGGGAGCGUUCUGUUUUAGGUGAAGACUCAUUGAAAAAGAGGUUGGAUGAAACAGAAGUGAGAAUGUUGGCUUGAGUAACGCACACAUUGGUGAGAAUCCAAUGCCCCGUAAACCUAAGGUUUCCUCUACAAGGCUCGUCCAUGGAGGGUUAGUCAGGACCUAAGAUCAGGCUUAAAAGCGUUAUCGAUGGAAAACAGGCCAAUAUUCCUGUACUUAUUUAAAUUUGGUGACAAAGGACGAAGGAGACACUCAUGGAUUACAUAAUGGUUGUAAUGGAAAUGCUCAAUACACAAUUUAAGCACAAAAACUUGAUUGGUUCAAUAAAGGCAUGAGACGGCACUUGACUUUUUUUAAACUCAAGAGCUCCAUAAUAAAGUGUCACACUUCCAAGAAAAUUUUGAGACACUUUACAAUUUAAAUAACCUGUACCUUAAACCGACACAGGUAGGUAGGUUGAGAAAACUCAGGGGCGCGAGAGAACUCUCUCUAAGGAACUCGGCAAAAUAGCCCCGUAACUUCGGGAGAAGGGGUACCUCUGUUCAGCAGAGGUCGCAGUGAACAGGUUUCUUGAACCGUUUAUCAAAAACAUAGGUCUCCGCAAAGUCGUAAGACAACGUAUGGGGGCUGACGCCUGCCCAGUGCCGGAAGGUUAAAGAAAUUGGUUAAAUGCUGAUAACUGAAGCCCCGGUGAACGGCGGCCGUAACUCUAGCGAAAUUCCUUGUCACGUAAGUUGUGACCCGCACGAAAGGCGUAAUCAAAGAAAUACUGUCUCGGAGAGAGACUCGGUGAAAUAGACAUAUCCGUGAAGAUGCGGAUUUCUAAUAGUUGGACAGAAAGACCCCGGAAGCUUGACUGUAUCUUGAUAUUGGUUUCCAGUUGUUUUUGCGCAGCCUAGGUGGGAGGCUAAGAAAUUAAAUUCGUGGAUUUAAUGGAGCCAUCAUUGAGAGACCACUCUGAAGCAACUAGAAUUCUAAGAGUGAUUCCUUGAAGCAGGACACUUGACAGUGUCAGGUGGGCAGUUUUUUUGGGGCGAAAUUCUCCUAAAAAGUAACGGAGAUUUGCAAAGGUUUCCUCAAACUGGACGGAAAUCAGUUGUUGAGUGUAAAGGCAAAAGGAAGCUUGACUGCAAGACCUAUAAGUCGAGCAGAGGCGAAAGCCGGCCUUAGUGAUCCGACGGUAUACCCUGUGGAAGGGCCGUCGCGCAAAAGAUAAAAGUUACUCUGGGGAUAACAGGCUAAUCUUCCCCAAGAGUUCACAUCGACGGGAAGGUUUGGCACCUCGAUGUCGACCUUUCGCAACCUGGGGCGGUAGUACGUCCCAAGGGUUGGGCUGUUCGCCCAUUAAAGCGGAACACGAGUUGGGUUCAGAACGUAAACUCAUUGCCGUGAGACAGUUUGGUCCAUAUCCGCUAUUAGCGUUAGAAUAUUGAGAGGAUGUUUCCAUAAUACGAGAGGACUUGGAAGCACAGACCACUGGUGUACCAGUUCUUGUACCAACGGGAAAUGCUGGGUAGCUAUGUCUGGAGAAGAGAACCGCUGAAGGCAUCUAAGUGGGAAGCUCACCUCGAGAUGAUUAUUCUCUAUCAGACUCUGGCAAGAGAAGCCGGUAGAUAGGUUUCAGGUGUAAGAUUUGUAAGAGUUUUAGCCGAGAAAUACUAAUGAUCGAUUGUUUUUGAU
RNAcentral lists this ribosomal RNA (2878 nucleotides) under Pseudocodium devriesii. Its description in RNAcentral is "LSU rRNA". It matches the Rfam family "Bacterial large subunit ribosomal RNA". Lineage: Eukaryota; Viridiplantae; Chlorophyta; Ulvophyceae; Bryopsidales; Halimedaceae. The record is from RNAcentral.